GGAAGCUGAGUACAGGGCAUCGUCCUGCUGGCCGCCUUUUAACGGAGGUAUGCCAGUUAAAAUGCCCCAAGAAUCCAGCAGAGUUUCCAGGGGAGGGGAGGCCGGGCUCUGUGAUCCGGAGACGAGGAGGAGCUCCGUCAAGUAAGAGGGACGAAUGUGUGAGUGUGCAGGACGUCUGCAUACACACACAUCUGUUCCAGUGCAUCUACACACACAUCUGUUCCAGUGCACGGCGGAGUCCAAAACGCCGACUCUUUUUCCAGACUUCAGAUUGGAACAAGGGUCUGUUUAUCGUGGUCGUCAAAUGACUCGUCAAUUAUUCGGCUUGUCGAUCGACUGACAAGGAAUCAAAGAAGUUCAGUCCUUUUUGAAGAAGAAAUAGCACACAUUUUCAGUGUCUAAAAUGUGAAAAAUGUCCUGCUUUUAUUUAUCUUACACGAUAUUAAAUGAAUGAUUUGGAGAUAUUAUGGACUGUUCAUCAACAAUAACACUAAUUUGAAGAAGUUACCGUGGGCUUCAAGGAAUUGCCCUGAACAUGUCUCCCAUUUAAUAAACACAAAGAUUAAUAGUUAAUAAUGACAAUGACUAAGUAUUAUAUAAGUUACAGACCUGCUCUUUUUAAAUAUAUGAGCAUUACAUUUAAAAACACCCUAUCACUUUCCCAAUGUGUCUCUUUGGUAUUGCUGUCCACAAGGUUACAAUGUAUACAUAUUUAUUUGGGUCUAUACAUUUGUGUAAUUGUGCAUAUAAUAUAGCACUGAAAUGCAGAUAUUUGUCAUAUUUUGCUCUGACCACAUGACAUUGCCAUGUGGACGACUAUCUGCUGACCUCUCUGACCUCUGAAAUAGGAGAACUUGUCAGUGUGGUGCACAGCUAACUCCCUAUCCGUCCGAUCAGUCCUAUGGUUUAAUUAAUUUUCAGUAAAAUAAUCCGCCACGUUUUUUAAGAACAAAAAUAACCGUCCCGUUGCCGUUUUUUCAUUCAAACAUUUGGAGUGAAGAAAAAGUGAGAGUGAGCACAAAGCAGCCCUUCAGAGUGUGGAGGUGCAGGGAGGUGCUGCAGGGAGGCGGUUGGACCCGACAGAGCUGCCCCAGUUCAGUGAGGGAUGAACACAAACAUCCAGUAAAGACCAACACAUAAUAUAUUUAGAUUUAAUCUGUUUGUGGUAUAUUUUGUUCUAGACGGGACCUUUUUUUUUUUUACCCGGCCAGUUUAAAGGCCUACAAAUAUCAACAAUUAGUGCUAACACACACAUUGUAAAACAUUGUGAUAAGUGUGUGUACGUGUCUUGUAGCUACAGGGUUGUACAAGUGCAAAAGGGGGGAAAAGUUCUUUAAAAAAUCCUUAAGUGGCUCCAGAGGGAGCAGCGUGAAGUCAAGUGAAAGUUAAAAUGAUACCAUCCUUAUCCUCUUCAGAGCAACAGAUGCUACGCUGCAUUGUACCCAUACGAGAAGGCAGCGUGCCACACGGACAUGCGAGGAAGACGAGGAUGAGACGGGUCAACAUAAACCUGCACGCCACCUCGUUCUGCGUAACGCUCUCAUUCAAAGGCUCACAGCCACGGCACUGUUCACCCUGGAGCCCGUCACCACUGUCCAGCUGUGCCGGCUCACGUGUUCUGGUCACGCAGUUCACUGACGGUAACCGACGGGAUGAAGGUUUUCAAAGAGAUCGAGUAGAUCCUCAACCUAUAGGUGGUGUCUUUAAGAAGACACCACCUUCCACGUACAUGCAUACACACAUACAUAUCAAUCUGCCCUCAUCUAUGUAUUUUGUUUCUUUGAUUUCAAAAAGGCUCAGAUACACACACACACACACACGUUCUCUAAUACUCUGGCUUUAUGAUGUUUUGUCCACUGUUUUGUCAUCCUCUAGGAGGUGUUAUGUCUAUGUAUUGUCUUUUCUCUUAUAAUAAAAAAAAAAUGUACCUCCUGUU
Long non-coding RNA from Pseudoliparis swirei, 1936 nucleotides. RefSeq lists it as uncharacterized. The transcript is spliced from 2 exons. The record is from RefSeq and is a predicted model, not a curated record. Lineage: Eukaryota; Metazoa; Chordata; Actinopteri; Perciformes; Liparidae.